Molecule: ribosomal RNA, 496 nt
Filed under: uncultured bacterium
Lineage: Bacteria
Description: partial 16S ribosomal RNA
Rfam family: Bacterial small subunit ribosomal RNA
Source: RNAcentral
GAUGAACGCUGGCGGCGUGCCUAAUACAUGCAAGUCGAGCGAACAGACGAGGCGCUUGCUCCUCUGACGUUAGCGGCGGACGGGUGAGUAACACGUGGAUAACCUACCUAUCAGACUGGGAUAACUUCGGGACACCGGCGCUAAUCCCGGAUAAUAUAUUGAACCGCAUGGUUCAAUAGUGAAAGACGGUUUUGCUGUCUCUUAUAGAUGGUUCCGCGCCGCAUUAGCUAGUUGUUAAGGUAACGGCUUACCAAGGCAACGAUGCGUAGCCGACCUGAGGGGGUGUACGGCCACACUGGAGCUGAGACGCGGUCCAGACUCCGACGGGAGGCAGCAGUAGGGAAGCGUCCGCAAUGGGCGAAAGCUUGACGGAGCAACGCCGCGUGAGUGAUGAAGGUCUUCGGAUGGUAAAACUCUGUUAUUAGGGAAGAACAAAUGUGUAAGUAACUAUGCGCGUCUUGACGGUACCGAAUCAGAAAGCCACGGCUAACUACGU